UAAUUUGUAGAGGAUACUUCUGAGUGGCCACCGACCUAAGUUCCUUGGAACAGGACGUCAUAGAGGGUGAGAAUCCCGUAUGCGGUCGGAAAGGCGCUCUAUACGUAGCUCCUUCGACGAGUCGAGUUGUUUGGGAAUGCAGCUCUAAAUGGGAGGUAAAUUUCUUCUAAAGCUAAAUAUUGGCCAGAGACCGAUAGCGCACAAGUAGAGUGAUCGAAAGAUGAAAAGCACUUUGGAAAGAGAGUUAAAAAGCACGUGAAAUUGUUAAAAGGGAAGG
RNAcentral lists this ribosomal RNA (277 nucleotides) under Tryblionella compressa. RNAcentral describes it as "partial Eukaryotic large subunit ribosomal RNA". It matches the Rfam family "Eukaryotic large subunit ribosomal RNA", at positions 146 to 420 of the family's 3401-position model. Lineage: Eukaryota; Bacillariophyta; Bacillariophyceae; Bacillariales; Bacillariaceae. The record is from RNAcentral.